AUACGGAGGAUCCGAGCGUUAUCCGGAUUUAUUGGGUUUAAAGGGAGCGUAGGCGGAUUAUUAAGUCAGUUGUAAAAGUUUGCGGCUGAACCGUAAAAUUGCAGUUGAUACUGGUAGUCUUGAGUGCAGCAGAGGUAGGCGGAAUUCGUGGUGUAGCGGUGAAAUGCUUAGAUAUCACGAAGAACUCCGAUUGCGAAGGCAGCUUACUGGACUGUAACUGACGCUGAUGCUCGAAAGUGUGGGUAUCAAACAGGAUUAGAUACCCUGGUAGUGCACACAGUAAACGAUGAAUACUCGCUGUUUGCGAUAUACAGCAAGCGGCCAAGCGAAGGCAUUAAGGAUUCCACCUGGGGAGUACGCCGGCAACGGUGAAACUCAAAGGAAUUGGCGGGG
Molecule: ribosomal RNA, 393 nt
Filed under: uncultured bacterium
Lineage: Bacteria
Description: partial 16S ribosomal RNA
Rfam family: Bacterial small subunit ribosomal RNA
Source: RNAcentral